RNAcentral lists this ribosomal RNA (500 nucleotides) under uncultured bacterium. Its description in RNAcentral is "bacterial SSU rRNA". It matches the Rfam family "Bacterial small subunit ribosomal RNA", at positions 28 to 555 of the family's 1533-position model. The record is from RNAcentral.
CCUGAACGCUGGCGGCGUGGCUAAGACAUGCAAGUCGUACGGGCCUAGCAAUAGGUCAGUGGCGAACGGGUGAGUAAUGUAUCGCUAACGUGCCCCGGACUCUGGGAUAGCUGCCCGAAAGGGCAGGUAAUACCAGAUGACAUAACUGGACCGCAUGGUUCGGUUCUCAAAGGGAAACCGGUCUGGGAGCGGGCGAUAUCGUAUCAGCUAGUUGGUAGGGUAACGGCCUACCAAGGCGACGACGCGUAGCGGGACUGAGAGGUCGGCCCGCCACAUCGGGACUGAGACACUGCCCGGACUCCUACGGGGGGCUGCAGUAACGAAUAUUGGGCAAUGCACGCAAGUGUGACCCAGCGACGCCGCGUGUGGGAUGAAGUCCUUCGGGAUGUAAACCACUGUCAGGGGCAAGAAAGUUCUGAUCUGCCCCAGAGGAAGGCACGGCUAACUCUGUGCCAGCAGCCGCGGUAAGACAGAGGUGCCAAGCGUUAGGCGGAAUCACU